RNAcentral lists this transfer RNA (72 nucleotides) under Sphaerodactylus townsendi. RNAcentral describes it as "tRNA-Thr". It matches the Rfam family "tRNA". From Rfam's summary of the family: Transfer RNA (tRNA) molecules are approximately 80 nucleotides in length. Their secondary structure includes four short double-helical elements and three loops (D, anti-codon, and T loops). The record is from RNAcentral. Lineage: Eukaryota; Metazoa; Chordata; Lepidosauria; Squamata; Sphaerodactylidae.
GGGGCUGUGGUUCAGUGGUAGAGCAUCAGCUUUGUAUGCAGAAGGCCCCAGGUUCAGUCCCCAGAAUCUCCA